CCUACGGGUGGCAGCAGUGAGGAAUAUUUGUCAAUGGCCGGAAGGCUGAACCAGCCAAGCCGCGUGAGGGAGGAAGGCGCAGAGCGUCGCAGACCUCUUUUGCCGGGGGACAAAAGGCCGGACUCGUCCGGUCCUGAGGGUACCCGGAGAAAAAGCAUCGGCUAACUCCGUGCCAGCAGCCGCGGUAAUACGGAGGAUGCGAGCGUUAUCCGGAUUUAUUGGGUUUAAAGGGUGCGUAGGCGGGCUUUUAAGUCAGCGGUAAAAAUUCGGGGCUCAACCCCGUCCGGCCGUUGAAACUGGGGGCCUUGAGUGGGCGAGAAGAAGGCGGAAUGCGUGGUGUAGCGGUGAAAUGCAUAGAUAUCACGCAGAACCCCGAUUGCGAAGGCAGCCUUCCGGCGCCCUACUGACGCUGAGGCACGAAAGUGCGGGGAUCGAACAGGAUUAGAUACCCCUGUAGUC
This 459-nucleotide ribosomal RNA is filed under the name uncultured bacterium. Its description in RNAcentral is "partial 16S ribosomal RNA". It matches the Rfam family "Bacterial small subunit ribosomal RNA", at positions 338 to 795 of the family's 1533-position model. The record is from RNAcentral.